This 450-nucleotide ribosomal RNA is filed under the name uncultured bacterium. RNAcentral describes it as "partial 16S ribosomal RNA". It matches the Rfam family "Bacterial small subunit ribosomal RNA", at positions 354 to 796 of the family's 1533-position model. The record is from RNAcentral.
GUGGGGAAUUUUGGACAAUGGGCGAAAGCCUGAUCCAGCAAUGCCGCGUGUGUGAAGAAGGCCUUCGGGUUGUAAAGCACUUUUGGCAGGGAAGAAACAGUGCGUGCUAAUACCAUGCGCGAAUGACGGUACCUGCAGAAUAAGCACCGGCUAACUACGUGCCAGCAGCCGCGGUAAUACGUAGGGUGCAAGCGUUAAUCGGAAUUACUGGGCGUAAAGCGUGCGCAGGCGGCUUUGUAAGACGGAUGUGAAAGCCCCGGGCUCAACCUGGGAAGGGCAUUCGUGACUGCAAGGCUAGAGUGUGUCAGAGGGAGGUGGAAUUCCGCGUGUAGCAGUGAAAUGCGUAGAGAUGCGGAGGAACACCGAUGGCGAAGGCAGCCCCCUGGGAUAACACUGACGCUCAGGCACGAAAGCGUGGGGAGCAAACAGGAUUAGAAACCCCAGUAGUCC